RNAcentral lists this ribosomal RNA (468 nucleotides) under uncultured bacterium. RNAcentral describes it as "partial 16S ribosomal RNA". It matches the Rfam family "Bacterial small subunit ribosomal RNA", at positions 28 to 507 of the family's 1533-position model. The record is from RNAcentral.
GACGAACGCUGGCGGCGUGCUUAACACAUGCAAGUCGAACGGAAAGGCCCUGCUUUUGUGGGGUGCUCGAGUGGCGAACGGGUGAGUAACACGUGAGUAACCUGCCCUUGACUUUGGGAUAACUUCAGGAAACUGGGGCUAAUACCGGAUAGGAGCUCCUGCUGCAUGGUGGGGGUUGGAAAGUUUCGGCGGUUGGGGAUGGACUCGCGGCUUAUCAGCUUGUUGGUGGGGUAGUGGCUUACCAAGGCUUUGACGGGUAGCCGGCCUGAGAGGGUGACCGGCCACAUUGGGACUGAGAUACGGCCCAGACUCCUACGGGAGGCAGCAGUGGGGAAUAUUGCACAAUGGGCGGAAGCCUGAUGCAGCAACGCCGCGUGCGGGAUGACGGCCUUCGGGUUGUAAACCGCUUUCGCCUGUGACGACGCGUGAGUGACGGUAAUGGGUAAAGAAGCACCGGCUAACUACGUG